UCCCGUUGAUCCUGCGGGAGAGUGCUGCUAAUGGAAUUCGACUAAGCCAUGCAAGUCUGGUCGCAAGACCGGCACCAUGCUCAGUAACACGUCGAUAACCUACCCUACGGUCAGGGAUAAGCUCGGGAAACUGAGUGUAACACCUGAUAUGGGAUGAAGACUGGAAUGUCUCUUCCUUGAAACUCGUGCCGUAGGAUGGGUCGGCGGUGGAUUAGGCUGCUGGUGGGGUAACGCCCCACCAAACCUGUGAUCCAUACGGGCCAUGAGAGUGGUAGCCCGGAGAGGGACACUGAAAUACUGGUCCCAGCCCUACGGGGUGCAGCAGGCGCGAAACCUCCACACUGUACGCAAGUGCGAUGGGGGGAUUCCAUGUGCCCAUGUUCUACAUGGGCUUUUGUCGAGACUAGACACCUCGGCGAAUAAGGGGUGGGUAAGACUGGUGCCAGCCGCCGCGGUAACACCAGCGCCCCGAGUGGUGCUCGCGUUUAUUGGGCCUAAAGCGUCCGUAGCCGGGUCGGUAAAUCCGCUGUGAAAUCGUUGCGCUCAACGUAACGGCGUGCAGCAGUAACUGCCGAUCUUGAGACCGGGAGGGGCUGGACGUAUGCUGUGGGGACCGGUAAAAUGGGAUAAUCCACAGUAGACGACCAAUGGCGAAGGCAUCCAGCCAGCACGGAUCUGACGGUGAGGGACGAAAGCCAGGGGAGCGAACCGGAUUAGAUACCCGAGUAGUCCUGGCCGUAAACGCUGCGAGCAAGGUGUUGCUCAUCCCACGUGGAUGGGCAGUGUCGAAAUGAAGAUGCUAAGCUCGCCGCCUGGGAAGUACGGUCGCAAGGCUGAAACUUUAAGGAAUUGGCGGGGGAGCACUACCAGGGGUGCGGCGUGCGGUUUAAUCUAACUCCACGCAGAGAACCUCACUAGAAGCGACGGCAGGAUGAAAGUCAGUCUGAAGGGCUUACUUGACGAGCCGAGAGGUAGUGCAUGGCCGCCGUCAGCUCGUGCCGUAAGGUGUCCAGCUAAGUCUGGUAACGAGCGAGACCUGCGCCCACAGUUGCUAGCGACGCACGCGGAUCGCGCACACUGUGGGGACUGCCUCCGUAAGGGGGAGGAAGGUGCAGGCAACGGUAGGUCUGUAUGCUCCGAAUCUUCUAGGCUACACGCGCGCAACAAUGGUCGGGCCAAUGGGCCGCAACACCGAGAGGUGAAGCUAAUCCUCGAAACCCGAUCUUGGUACAGAUUGAGGCUUGCAACCCAGCCUCAUGACGCCGGAAUCCCUAGUAAUCGGCCUUCAUCAUAUGCCGGUGAAUAUGUCCCUGCUCCUUGCACACACCGCCCGUCAAAUCAACCGAGCAGGGUUAUGGUGAAGCCAUGCUUUCUUGGUAUGGCUGAAUCCUAGCUCAGUGAGGUGGAUUAAGUCGUCACAAGGUC
This 1425-nucleotide ribosomal RNA is filed under the name metagenome. RNAcentral's name for it is "bacterial SSU rRNA". It matches the Rfam family "Archaeal small subunit ribosomal RNA". The record is from RNAcentral.